This 481-nucleotide ribosomal RNA is filed under the name uncultured bacterium. RNAcentral describes it as "partial 16S ribosomal RNA". It matches the Rfam family "Bacterial small subunit ribosomal RNA", at positions 28 to 507 of the family's 1533-position model. The record is from RNAcentral.
GAUGAACGCUGGCGGCGUGCCUAACACAUGCAAGUCGAGCGAAGCACUUACUUUAGAUUUCUUCGGAAUGACGAAGUUUGUGACUGAGCGGUGGACGGGUGAGUAACGCGUGGGCAACCUGCCCUGUACAGGGGGAUAACAGUUAGAAAUGACUGCUAAUACCGCAUAAGCCCACAGCUUCGCAUGAAGCAGUGGGAAAAACUCCGGUGGUACAGGAUGGGCCCGCGUCUGAUUAGCUAGUUGGUAAGGUAACGGCUUACCAAGGCGACGAUCAGUAGCCGACCUGAGAGGGUGACCGGCCACAUUGGGACUGAGACACGGCCCAAACUCCUACGGGAGGCAGCAGUGGGGAAUAUUGCACAAUGGGGGAAACCCUGAUGCAGCGACGCCGCGUGAGCGAUGAAGUAUUUCGGUAUGUAAAGCUCUAUCAGCAGGGAAGAAAGUGACGGUACCUGACUAAGAAGCCCCGGCUAACUACGUG